RNAcentral lists this ribosomal RNA (1554 nucleotides) under Staphylococcus schweitzeri. Its description in RNAcentral is "16S ribosomal RNA". It matches the Rfam family "Bacterial small subunit ribosomal RNA". Lineage: Bacteria; Bacillati; Bacillota; Bacilli; Caryophanales; Staphylococcaceae. The record is from RNAcentral.
UUUAUGGAGAGUUUGAUCCUGGCUCAGGAUGAACGCUGGCGGCGUGCCUAAUACAUGCAAGUCGAGCGAACGGACGAGAAGCUUGCUUCUCUGAUGUUAGCGGCGGACGGGUGAGUAACACGUGGAUAACCUACCUAUAAGACUGGGAUAACUUCGGGAAACCGGAGCUAAUACCGGAUAAUAUUUUGAACCGCAUGGUUCAAAAGUGAAAGACGGUCUUGCUGUCACUUAUAGAUGGAUCCGCGCUGCAUUAGCUAGUUGGUAAGGUAACGGCUUACCAAGGCAACGAUGCAUAGCCGACCUGAGAGGGUGAUCGGCCACACUGGAACUGAGACACGGUCCAGACUCCUACGGGAGGCAGCAGUAGGGAAUCUUCCGCAAUGGGCGAAAGCCUGACGGAGCAACGCCGCGUGAGUGAUGAAGGUCUUCGGAUCGUAAAACUCUGUUAUUAGGGAAGAACAUAUGUGUAAGUAACUGUGCACAUCUUGACGGUACCUAAUCAGAAAGCCACGGCUAACUACGUGCCAGCAGCCGCGGUAAUACGUAGGUGGCAAGCGUUAUCCGGAAUUAUUGGGCGUAAAGCGCGCGUAGGCGGUUUUUUAAGUCUGAUGUGAAAGCCCACGGCUCAACCGUGGAGGGUCAUUGGAAACUGGAAAACUUGAGUGCAGAAGAGGAAAGUGGAAUUCCAUGUGUAGCGGUGAAAUGCGCAGAGAUAUGGAGGAACACCAGUGGCGAAGGCGACUUUCUGGUCUGUAACUGACGCUGAUGUGCGAAAGCGUGGGGAUCAAACAGGAUUAGAUACCCUGGUAGUCCACGCCGUAAACGAUGAGUGCUAAGUGUUAGGGGGUUUCCGCCCCUUAGUGCUGCAGCUAACGCAUUAAGCACUCCGCCUGGGGAGUACGACCGCAAGGUUGAAACUCAAAGGAAUUGACGGGGACCCGCACAAGCGGUGGAGCAUGUGGUUUAAUUCGAAGCAACGCGAAGAACCUUACCAAAUCUUGACAUCCUUUGACAACUCUAGAGAUAGAGCCUUCCCCUUCGGGGGACAAAGUGACAGGUGGUGCAUGGUUGUCGUCAGCUCGUGUCGUGAGAUGUUGGGUUAAGUCCCGCAACGAGCGCAACCCUUAAGCUUAGUUGCCAUCAUUAAGUUGGGCACUCUAAGUUGACUGCCGGUGACAAACCGGAGGAAGGUGGGGAUGACGUCAAAUCAUCAUGCCCCUUAUGAUUUGGGCUACACACGUGCUACAAUGGACAAUACAAAGGGCAGCAAAACCGCGAGGUCAAGCAAAUCCCAUAAAGUUGUUCUCAGUUCGGAUUGUAGUCUGCAACUCGACUACAUGAAGCUGGAAUCGCUAGUAAUCGUAGAUCAGCAUGCUACGGUGAAUACGUUCCCGGGUCUUGUACACACCGCCCGUCACACCACGAGAGUUUGUAACACCCGAAGCCGGUGGAGUAACCUUUUAGGAGCUAGCCGUCGAAGGUGGGACAAAUGAUUGGGGUGAAGUCGUAACAAGGUAGCCGUAUCGGAAGGUGCGGCUGGAUCACCUCCUUUCU